Molecule: ribosomal RNA, 467 nt
Filed under: uncultured Myxococcales bacterium
Lineage: Bacteria; Pseudomonadati; Myxococcota; Myxococcia; Myxococcales
Description: bacterial SSU rRNA
Rfam family: Bacterial small subunit ribosomal RNA
Source: RNAcentral
UGCCUACGGGUGGCAGCAGUGGGGAAUCUUGCGCAAUGGGCGAAAGCCUGACGCAGCGACGCCGCGUGAGCGAUGAAGGCCCUCGGGUCGUAAAGCUCUGUGGGGAGGAAAGAAUACGGUUCGGCCAACACCCGGACCGAUGACGGUACCUCCUUAGCAAGCACCGGCUAACUCUGUGCCAGCAGCCGCGGUAAUACAGAGGGUGCAAACGUUGUUCGGAAUUACUGGGCGUAAAGCGCGUGUAGGCGGCGGGGUAAGUCGGGUGUGAAAGCCCACGGCUCAACCGGGGAAGUGCACUCGAAACGGCCCCGCUAGAGUCUCGGAGAGGAAGGCGGAAUGCUCGGUGUAGAGGUGAAAUUCGUAGAUAUCGAGCGGAACACCGGUGGCGAAGGCGGCCUUCUGGACGAUGACUGACGCUGAGACGCGAAAGCGUGGGGAGCAAACAGGAUUAGAUACCCUAGUAGUCA